RNAcentral lists this ribosomal RNA (1193 nucleotides) under Levilactobacillus brevis. RNAcentral describes it as "bacterial SSU rRNA". It matches the Rfam family "Bacterial small subunit ribosomal RNA", at positions 70 to 1254 of the family's 1533-position model. Lineage: Bacteria; Bacillati; Bacillota; Bacilli; Lactobacillales; Lactobacillaceae. The record is from RNAcentral.
CUUGCACUGAUUUCACAAUGAAGCGAGUGGCGAACUGGUGAGUAACACGUGGGAAUCUGCCCAGAAGCAGGGGAUAACACUUGGAAACAGGUGCUAAUACCGUAUAACAACAAAAUCCGCAUGGAUUUUGUUUGAAAGGUGGCUUCGGCUAUCACUUCUGGAUGAUCCCGCGGCGUAUUAGUUAGUUGGUGAGGUAAAGGCCCACCAAGACGAUGAUACGUAGCCGACCUGAGAGGGUAAUCGGCCACAUUGGGACUGAGACACGGCCCAAACUCCUACGGGAGGCAGCAGUAGGGAAUCUUCCACAAUGGACGAAAGUCUGAUGGAGCAAUGCCGCGUGAGUGAAGAAGGGUUUCGGCUCGUAAAACUCUGUUGUUAAAGAAGAACACCUUUGAGAGUAACUGUUCAAGGGUUGACGGUAUUUAACCAGAAAGCCACGGCUAACUACGUGCCAGCAGCCGCGGUAAUACGUAGGUGGCAAGCGUUGUCCGGAUUUAUUGGGCGUAAAGCGAGCGCAGGCGGUUUUUUAAGUCUGAUGUGAAAGCCUUCGGCUUAACCGGAGAAGUGCAUCGGAAACUGGGAGACUUGAGUGCAGAAGAGGACAGUGGAACUCCAUGUGUAGCGGUGGAAUGCGUAGAUAUAUGGAAGAACACCAGUGGCGAAGGCGGCUGUCUAGUCUGUAACUGACGCUGAGGCUCGAAAGCAUGGGUAGCGAACAGGAUUAGAUACCCUGGUAGUCCAUGCCGUAAACGAUGAGUGCUAAGUGUUGGAGGGUUUCCGCCCUUCAGUGCUGCAGCUAACGCAUUAAGCACUCCGCCUGGGGAGUACGACCGCAAGGUUGAAACUCAAAGGAAUUGACGGGGGCCCGCACAAGCGGUGGAGCAUGUGGUUUAAUUCGAAGCUACGCGAAGAACCUUACCAGGUCUUGACAUCUUCUGCCAAUCUUAGAGAUAAGACGUUCCCUUCGGGGACAGAAUGACAGGUGGUGCAUGGUUGUCGUCAGCUCGUGUCGUGAGAUGUUGGGUUAAGUCCCGCAACGAGCGCAACCCUUAUUAUCAGUUGCCAGCAUUCAGUUGGGCACUCUGGUGAGACUGCCGGUGACAAACCGGAGGAAGGUGGGGAUGACGUCAAAUCAUCAUGCCCCUUAUGACCUGGGCUACGUGCUACAAUGGACGGUACAACGAGUCGCAAAU